RNAcentral lists this long non-coding RNA (801 nucleotides) under Bos taurus (domestic cattle). RNAcentral describes it as "long non-coding RNA NONBTAT016903". The record is from RNAcentral. Lineage: Eukaryota; Metazoa; Chordata; Mammalia; Artiodactyla; Bovidae.
UGGGAACCUCAUCUCGAGGGUGUUCUCUGAACUGUAGCAAAUCACUGCAGCACUGUUAGAAGAGUCCCCAUUUAGGAUAAAUUCUCUGACCCAGAGCGGGUGGAAUACUACAUUCGUGGAAUAAUUUAGGAACUAGUCCAGCAGGAUAUUAACAGACCAAAAUUGCACUAUAUCGUGGGCUCGUUCAAAUAGAAAAGAAGGGAUAGCACCCAUCAAAUUGAAAGGAAAAGUAUUUGCAUGUACUGACCUUAGAAUUGAGCCUUGAGUAUUAGAAUUUUGUCAUGGGAAACCCAUCACAAUCCUUCGGUAGUUCUCUUAGGGGGAUUUAUUAAUAUUAGUUAAGUAUAUGGGCCUUAAGUCGACCUUUGGCGGAAGGUAUUUUUGCAGUUGAUUUAAUAGAAUGAGCUAUUAAUUAAUUAAUUUUACAUUUUGAGCCUGUGCGUCCUACCAGUUUUUUACAGGAUAAAAGUGGACAAAAUAGCAAGGGCUCCCUUUAGUUUGGUUUGUUACUAUUGAUCAGUUUGUUCACUGAAAUGUGUGAAAAUACACUUAAGUCAUUUAAAUUUAUUUUGAUCUAUCGAAGUCCAAAAUGAAUUGAUUGAGUCAGAACUGCCUCAAUGGAUGGAGAAUUUCUAUCCUUUCAACUGUGGCUGCCUACUUAUUUAUUUAUACUAGUAAAAGAGUUUUGUUCCGCUGAAGAUGUGAGUAGAUUAUAUUUUUAUACACGUUUAAAAUCAGAUAGUAGAUAUUUUAAUAGCCCGCAAGUUGAUGAUCAUCCAGUGAGAGCUGUCGCUGGAAAAC